AUUGCUUCUCUGCCUUUUGGCUAAGAUCAAGUGAAAUUUAUUAGUAUUUAAAUAUAGUUUUUAAAACUAAAAAUGAUAAUAUCUAUUUUAAUAUGGUGUAAAGCAGCUUUUAAGCCACUUUAUGCUGUUGACUUAAUUCAUUUUUGCAUGAAAUUCAGCAAGCAAUU
This is a small nuclear RNA of 167 nucleotides. Its record names the gene U2. It matches the Rfam family "U2 spliceosomal RNA". Rfam says of the family: U2 is a small nuclear RNA (snRNA) component of the spliceosome (involved in pre-mRNA splicing). The record is from Ensembl.